UAUUUUUUAUUUAUUUUUAUUUUUAGUUUAAUUUAUUUUUUUUUUUGAGAUUAAUUAAUUUAUUUUUGUUUUAGUAUUAUUUUGAAUUAAUUUUUUUUGUUAUAUUUUAUUUUUUACUGUUAAGGUUUAUUUUUCUUAUUAUUAAAGUAGGGUAUUUUCCUCUACCUUUUGUAUCAGGGUUGAUUUAUUUUAUAUUAAUUAUUUAUUUUUCUCGAAUUGAUAUGAUUUAAUAAGAUAUGUUAGUUAAUGUUUUAUAUUUAUUAAUUAUUUCUUUUUAGUUGUGAUAUGCUAUUUCGUAUAUUGUGAUAUCUAGUUUUCUUAUAAUUGAAUUUAAUUCAGCUAAUAUUAAUUAUUUAUUUAUUAUUUAUUUAUUUAUUUAUUAUUGGUAAAAUUACGGGGGAUAAGCUUUUUAAUUUUUUUAUAAAUUUAUUAUAUUUGAUGUUUUAUAGGGUUUAUAAUGCUCAUUAUUUUUAUUUUUUUAUAAUUUAUUAUUUAUUUUUUUUUGAUUUAUUUUUUUUUAAAUUUUUAUUUGAAUUUUUUAAUUAAUUAUUUAUUUUUUUGUAAUAAUGAUUUAAUUAGUAUAUUUAUUUAUUUUUUUUUGUUUUUAACUUAACAUAAGGAAUUUGGCAAGAGUUUAUUUAUUCGCUUGUUUAUCAAAAACAUCUUUUAUUUUGUUUAUAUUAAAUAUGACCUGCCCAAUGAUAUUUUAUUUAAUGGCCGCGGUAUUUUGACUGUGCAAAGGUAGCAUAAUCAUUAGUCUAUUAAUUGUAGGAUGGUAUGAAUGGUUGGACGAAAUAUUGACUGUCUUCAUGUUUAUUUAUAGAAAUUAAUUUUUGAGUUAAAAAGCUUAAAUUUUUUUGUAGGACGAGAAGACCCUAUAGAUCUUUAUUAAUUUAAUUUUACUUAUUUUUGGUUUAUUUCUUUUCAUGAAUUUUUGAUUUUUUUUGUUGGGGUGACAUUUAGAUAUAAUUAACUCUUUUUUUUCUUUUUCAUUGAUUUUUGUUUAUAUGAUUUUUUACUAUUUCUUUAAGAUAUAGAUACCUUAGGGAUAACAGCGUAAUUCUUUUUGAGAGUUCAUAUUGACAUUGGAGAUUGCGACCUCGAUGUUGAAUUAAGAUUAUAUUUUGGUGUAGUAGCUUUUUAUAUAGGUCUGUUCGACCUUUAAAUUCUUACAUGAUUUGAGUUCAAACCGGCGUGAGCCAGGUUGGUUUCUAUCCUUAAUUUUUAAGUUUUAAGUUAGUACGAAAGGACCAUUUAAAUUGAAUAUUUUAUUUUUUUUUGAUUAUAAUU
Molecule: ribosomal RNA, 1290 nt
Filed under: Pulchriphyllium giganteum
Lineage: Eukaryota; Metazoa; Arthropoda; Insecta; Phasmatodea; Phylliidae
Description: Phyllium giganteum l-rRNA
Rfam family: Archaeal large subunit ribosomal RNA (bases 1048-1206)
Source: RNAcentral